GCCCCCAUAGUCUAGACCGGUCAAGGAUACGGGCUUCUCGAGCCUGUGACACGGGUUCAAAUCCCGUUGGGGGCA
RNAcentral lists this transfer RNA (75 nucleotides) under Candidatus Woesearchaeota archaeon. RNAcentral's name for it is "tRNA-Glu". It matches the Rfam family "tRNA". Rfam says of the family: Transfer RNA (tRNA) molecules are approximately 80 nucleotides in length. Their secondary structure includes four short double-helical elements and three loops (D, anti-codon, and T loops). Lineage: Archaea; Nanobdellati; Candidatus Woesearchaeota. The record is from RNAcentral.